AUGGAGGAAGGAGCUUUCCUCUUGGAUUUAAAUUCUUUGUCAGGCUAUGGGCUGCAGAAGAGAGUAAGCAUGGGUAUUGACAUGAGUCUGGAAAUUUCUAAUGACGCUAUUGCAUCUCUUUUCUCCCUCCAUCAUCGUAGGGGCUUUCUUUUUGUUUUUAAUUUUUAUUUAAAAUUUUUUUUCCAUAGUUAUAUGAUUCAUGUUUUCUCCCUUCCCUUCUGCCUUCCCCCUCCCAGAGUUGACAAGCAAUUCCACUGGAUUAUACAUAUAUGCAUAUCUAUCUAUCUAUCUAUCUAUCUAUCUAUCUAUCUAUCUAUCUAUCUACCUAUCUAUCUAUCUAUCUACCUAUCUAUCUAUCUCUCUCUCCAUCUGUCCAUCUACCUAUCAUCUCUCUCCUUCUAUCUAUCCAUCUAUCUAUCUAUCUCUCUCUCCAUCUGUCCAUCUACCUAUCAUCUCUCUCCUUCUGUCUAUCCAUCUAUCUAUCUAUCUAUCUAUCUAUCUAUCUAUCUAUCUAUCUAUCUAUCUAUCUAUCUAUCUAUCUAUCUAUCUACCUAUCUAUCUAUCUAUCAUCACUUGAACAUAGGGGCUUUCUUUCUAAAGGCAAUAAUGCCAUUCUCUCCUCCAUCAGACUGGGAUCUCCCAUAAUCCUGGCAACAAACACAAAUCACUCACAUUUAUAUAAUGAUCUUCACUUUACAAAAGCACUUCUCUCCCAGCUAUCUGUGAGGAGGUGAUGCAAGGCUGUCAAGUGUAGUGUACAGGGCUGGGUCUUUUCCUUCUCCUCCUUUCUGUGGUAAAGGUCUACACACCACGGAUGCUGAAUUACUUGUUUCCUGACUGGUGAGAAGGAAGGCUGAUCAACUGUGAGGCCCUAGAGAGGCUAUGGGUUCGGAAUCCUUGCCUGUUUGGGGAAUCGGAAGCACAAGACCUACUUCCUUUAGACCUUCAUUUAUUUAUCCCACAAAGUGGUGCCAAAUCCACCAAGCUAACUUUCAUAGCUACUGAUUAGAUUGGGGCUGAGACCAAAUCAUAGUUAGAAAUUGAGGCCAGGCUUAAAUUUAGCCAGAAAUUUGGGUGAGUAUAUGUUCUAAAUUAUUUAUAGCAGUUCUCUAUGUGGUAGCAAAAAACUGGAGAUUGAGGGAAUGCUCAUAAUUUGGGGAAUGGCUAAACAAAUUAUGACAUAUGACUUUGAUGGUAUACUAUUGUGCAGUAAGAAAUGACAAACAGGUUAAUUUUUAAAAAUCAUGGAAAUAUCUACCUGAAAUCAUGAAGCAUGAAAUGAGCAGGGGCAGCUAGGUAGCACAGUGGCUAGAAAGCCACUGGAGAUGCAAGAUCCAUGGUUCAGAUCUGGCCUUAGACACUUCUAGCUAUGUGACCCUGGGCAAGUCACUUACCCACUGCUCUUCUGCCUUAGAAUCGAUACUUAGUAUUGAUUUUAAGACAGAUGGCAAGAGGUUUUAAAAAAAUGGAAAUGAGCAGAACCAAGAGAACAUUAUAUAAAGCAAAAGAAAUACUGUUUGAAGAAUACUUGUGAAUGUUUGUCUCCAGAUAAAGAAUUGAUAAGUAGAAACAUACAUGAUAUUGUUUACACACAUACAUACACAUAUUUGUCAAAAGAUGCUUUCUCUAGUGUAGGGAAGGGAGAAGACACACAGGGGAUAUUUAAUGUAGCAAACAAAUAAAUCAAUUUAAACUGAAUAAAAAGAAAUGUAG
Molecule: long non-coding RNA, 1713 nt
Filed under: Monodelphis domestica (gray short-tailed opossum)
Lineage: Eukaryota; Metazoa; Chordata; Mammalia; Didelphimorphia; Didelphidae
Description: lncRNA (ENSMODG00000050363.1)
Source: RNAcentral